AGUCGAACGGUAAGGCCCCUUCGGGGGUACACGAGUGGCGAACGGGUGAGUAACACGUGAGCAACCUGCCCUUGACACUGGAAUAACAGUUGGAAACAGCUGCUAAUGCCGGAUAUGACCUUCGGUGGCAUCACCUGGAGGUGGAAAGUGCUAAGCGGUCAAGGAUGGGCUCGCGGCCUAUCAGCUUGUUGGUGAGGUAACGGCUCACCAAGGCUUCGACGGGUAGCCGGCCUGAGAGGGCGACCGGCCACACUGGGACUGAGAUACGGCCCAGACUCCUACGGGAGGCAGCAGUGGGGAAUAUUGCACAAUGGGCGCAAGCCUGAUGCAGCAACGCCGCGUGCGGGAUGACGGCCUUCGGGUUGUAAACCGCUUUCAGUUCCGACGAAGCGCAAGUGACGGUAGGAACAGAAGAAGGACCGGCCAACUACGUGCCAGCAGCCGCGGUGAUACGUAGGGUCCGAGCGUUGUCCGGAAUUAUUGGGCGUAAAGGGCUUGUAGGUGGUUUGUCACGUCGGAAGUGAAAACUCAGGGCUUAACCCUGAGCCUGCUUCCGAUACGGGCAAACUAGAGGAAUGCAGGGGAGAAUGGAAUUCCUGGUGGAGCGGUGGAAUGCGCAGAUAUCAGGAGGAACACCGGUGGCGAAGGCGGUUCUCUGGGCAUUUCCUGACGCUGAGAAGCGAAAGCGUGGGGAGCAAACAGGCUUAGAUACCCUGGUAGUCCACGCCGUAAACGGUGGGCACUAGGUGUGGGGAACAUUCCACGUUCUCCGUGCCGAAGCUAACGCAUUAAGUGCCCCGCCUGGGGAGUACGGCCGCAAGGCUAAAAACUCAAAGGAAUUGACGGGGGCCCCCA
RNAcentral lists this ribosomal RNA (855 nucleotides) under uncultured Propionibacteriaceae bacterium. RNAcentral describes it as "bacterial SSU rRNA". It matches the Rfam family "Bacterial small subunit ribosomal RNA", at positions 60 to 925 of the family's 1533-position model. The record is from RNAcentral. Lineage: Bacteria; Bacillati; Actinomycetota; Actinomycetes; Propionibacteriales; Propionibacteriaceae.